This 513-nucleotide ribosomal RNA is filed under the name uncultured bacterium. RNAcentral describes it as "partial 16S ribosomal RNA". It matches the Rfam family "Bacterial small subunit ribosomal RNA", at positions 28 to 523 of the family's 1533-position model. The record is from RNAcentral.
GAUGAACGCUGGCGGCGUGCCUAAUACAUGCAAGUCGAGCGAACAGAUAAGGAGCUUGCUCCUUUGACGUUAGCGGCGGACGGGUGAGUAACACGUGGGUAACCUACCUAUAAGACUGGGAUAACUUCGGGAAACCGGAGCUAAUACCGGAUAAUAUUUCGAACCGCAUGGUUCGAUAGUGAAAGAUGGUUUUGCUAUCACUUAUAGAUGGACCCGCGCCGUAUUAGCUAGUUGGUAAGGUAACGGCUUACCAAGGCGACGAUACGUAGCCGACCUGAGUGGGUGAUCGGCCACACUGGAACUGAGACACGGUCCAGACUCCUACGGGAGGCAGCAGUAGGGAAUCUUCCGCAAUGGGCGAAAGCCUGACGGAGCAACGCCGCGUGAGUGAUGAAGGUCUUCGGAUCGUAAGACUCUGUUAUUAGGGAAGAACAUACGUGUAAGUAACUGUGCACGUCUUGACGGUACCUAAUCAGAAAGCCACGGCUAACUACGUGCCAGCAGCCGCCGUAA